RNAcentral lists this ribosomal RNA (253 nucleotides) under uncultured bacterium. RNAcentral describes it as "partial 16S ribosomal RNA". It matches the Rfam family "Bacterial small subunit ribosomal RNA", at positions 524 to 776 of the family's 1533-position model. The record is from RNAcentral.
CACGUAGGAGGCGAGCGUUGUCCGGAAUCAUUGGGCGUAAAGAGCGCGCAGGCGGCUUGGCAAGUCGGGUGUGAAAUCCCGGGGCUCAACCCUGUGACUGCAUUCGAUACUGUCAGGCUAGAGGUAGGUAGGGGAGAUCGGAAUUCCUGGUGUAGCGGUGAAAUGCGCAGAUAUCAGGAGGAACACCGGUGGCGAAGGCGGAUCUCUGGGCCUUACCUGACGCUCAGGCGCGAAAGCUAGGGGAGCGAACAGG